UGGGGAAUUUUGGACAAUGGGCGCAAGCCUGAUCCAGCCAUGCCGCGUGAGUGAAGAAGGCCUUCGGGUUGUAAAGCUCUUUCAGACGGAAAGAAACGGUCACGGCCAAUACCCGUGACUAAUGACGGUACCGUCAGAAGAAGCACCGGCUAACUACGUGCCAGCAGCCGCGGUAAUACGUAGGGUGCGAGCGUUAAUCGGAAUUACUGGGCGUAAAGCGUGCGCAGGCGGUUUGGUAAGACAGAUGUGAAAUCCCCGGGCUUAACCUGGGAACUGCAUUUGUGACUGCCAGACUAGAGUGUAGCAGAGGGGGGUAGAAUUCCACGUGUAGCAGUGAAAUGCGUAGAUAUGUGGAGGAAUACCGAUGGCGAAGGCAGCCCCCUGGGCUAACACUGACGCUCAUGCACGAAAGCGUGGGGAGCGAACAGGAUUAGAUACCCCCGUAGUCCCUGAGCGGGCUGGCAAGGCGCAU
RNAcentral lists this ribosomal RNA (472 nucleotides) under uncultured bacterium. RNAcentral's name for it is "bacterial SSU rRNA". It matches the Rfam family "Bacterial small subunit ribosomal RNA", at positions 355 to 825 of the family's 1533-position model. The record is from RNAcentral.